CACUACAUUAUUGCAUCAAUCAAUUAUAUGAUUUAAAGAGAGAAAGAAAGUGUAUUAUUUGCACAUUUUCUCAUAUCACUCAUCCUAGACCAUCUCUCUCUAAAAGCUACGAAAUUAGCUUGCUAGAUCAGUCUAUAAUCAAAGCCCAGCCAUCACAACAACAAAUCAUAAGCCAAAAUCAGAAAAUCAAAGCUUAGAAAAGGUAUAAACUCUAGCUUGAUUUUUCUCAAACUUUUUGGUG
This 241-nucleotide long non-coding RNA is filed under the name Panax ginseng (ginseng). Its description in RNAcentral is "long non-coding RNA (PGIN_LNC002762)". Lineage: Eukaryota; Viridiplantae; Streptophyta; Magnoliopsida; Apiales; Araliaceae. The record is from RNAcentral.